This 819-nucleotide long non-coding RNA is filed under the name Heterocephalus glaber (naked mole-rat). RNAcentral describes it as "lncRNA (ENSHGLG00100044346.1)". The record is from RNAcentral. Lineage: Eukaryota; Metazoa; Chordata; Mammalia; Rodentia; Bathyergidae.
GUCAGCUCUGAGCUGAAGGGGAGCCCUGGAAGCUUUCUCCCUGUACUGGUGCCACCCAGUGUUUCAGCUUGGCCCUUGAGUCAUCUUCCUGGCCUCUAGUUCUGUGCCCAGAGCCCCUCCAGGCUGACCGGAGGCUGCUAAAGCCUCCUUAGGCUCAGAGCGAAAGUGUCACAGACCCUGGCUCCACCCAAAGCCUCGUAGGCCUUGUGGAAAGGACUCAGGACCUGCAGCCCAGGCGAGGUCACAGGCCUGUCAACAAAAGCAAGUUAAGCGGGCAGAUGUGGCAGAUGGUGCCGGCUCAGGGAAAUUCAGAAUGAACGGGACAGAGUCACUUGCCUAGGAGAAUAAUUCUCCCAGAAUGAUCACUCAAGGUCCCAAUCCCCAGAGCCUGCCAAUGUGUCAUCAUACAUGGCAAAAGGGACUUUACAGAUGUGAUUAAGGAUCUUGAGAUGGGAAGCAUAUCCUGGAUUAUCCUGAUUGAUUUUUCAGAGAAUACAAAUUCAGACUCUUAGCAGGGAGCCCCUAUUCAGCUGAGGACAAGGAAGCAGGGAGCCAUGAUUGGAAGAAACACCAUUGAUGCAGCUGGGUCUUCCAAGUCAGCCAGGAGCCACUGUCCACCUGCCAGCCUAGAUCUGCACAGAGCAGCCCACAGGCCAGGCCACCGCCUUCUGACUUCACAGGGCCAAUUAGACAGCUGCCUCUCUGCAGCCACUUCCUGCAAGCGCUCCCACACAGAAGCAUUUCACUGGUUAAAAAGAAGUGCCAGUUUCUUUGAAAGGGUAAAUUAAAGUGUAAAUACAUGCAUCACCCCUGCAGGAC